AACUCUUAGCCUUCUGACUAAGAUCAAGAGGAGUCCUGCUCUUGUCAGCUUAAUAUCUCAUGUACCUUCUAUCUAAGAUUGAUAUGGUAAAGUAUGAUAAGUGUACUUUUAUAGUAGGAAAGUGGAGUAGCCUGUUCUGACCAUUGCACACACUGGCUUGGUACUGCAGUGCCUCUAGGAGCUGUAUAUAGCAU
Small nuclear RNA from Mastomys coucha (southern multimammate mouse), 194 nucleotides. RefSeq annotates it as U2 spliceosomal RNA. Lineage: Eukaryota; Metazoa; Chordata; Mammalia; Rodentia; Muridae. The transcript has a single exon. The record is from RefSeq and is a predicted model, not a curated record.